Molecule: ribosomal RNA, 467 nt
Filed under: uncultured bacterium
Lineage: Bacteria
Description: partial 16S ribosomal RNA
Rfam family: Bacterial small subunit ribosomal RNA
Source: RNAcentral
GAUGAACGCUGGCGGCGCGCCUAACACAUGCAAGUCGAACGAUUAAAGCACCUUCGGGUGUGUAUAAAGUGGCGAACGGCUGAGUAACACGUGGGCAACCUGCCCCUUUCAUUGGGAUAGCCACGGGAAACCGUGGAUAAUACCGAAUACUUCGAGACUUCCUCAUUGAAGACUCGAGAAAGCUCCGGCGGAGAGGGAUGGGCCCGCGGCCUGUUAGCUUGUUGGUGGGGUAACGGCCUACCAAGGCAAUGAUGGGUAGCUGGGUUGAGAGACCGACCAGCCAGAUUGGGACUGAGACACGGCCCAGACUCCUACGGGAGGCAGCAGUGGGGAAUCUUGCACAAUGGGCGAAAGCCUGAUGCAGCGACGCCGCGUGCGGGAUGAAGGCCUUCGGGUUGUAAACCGCUUUCAGCAGGGACGAGGCGAAAGUGACGGUACCUGCAGAAGAAGCCCCGGCUAACUACGUG